This 783-nucleotide non-coding RNA is filed under the name Apotropina sp. The record is from RNAcentral. Lineage: Eukaryota; Metazoa; Arthropoda; Insecta; Diptera; Chloropidae.
AUAAAGUUUUAUUUUGGCUUAAAAAUUUAUUAUUUAAUUAUUUUAUAUGUAAAUUUUUGUGUGAAUUUUUAAUUAUUUUAAAAAUAAUUAUUUUUAGUUUAUUCGCAGUAAUUAAUAUUAUUAAUUAAAGAAAUUUAGAAAUAGUAAUUUUAUUAAGUAUUGGUUAAAUUUGUGCCAGCAUCCGCGGUUAUACAAAUAAUACAAGUAAAUUUUUUAAGUUUUAGUUAAAUUUAUUUAUAUUUAUUUUAAAAUAAAUUUAUUAGGUGAAAUUUAUAAAUUUAUAAAAAAUUUAUUUUAUAUAAUUGAAUCUAAAAAAUUUUUAUAAUAAACUAGGAUUAGAUACCCUAUUAUUAAAAAUGUAAAUAUUAAAACUAAGGUAGUAAUAGUUAUGAUCUUGAAACUUAAAAAAUUUGGCGGUAUUUUAGUCUAUUCAGAGGAACCUGUUUUAUAAUCGAUAAUCCACGUUGGACCUUACUUAAGUUUGUAAAUCAAUUUAUAUACCGUCGUUAUAAGAAUAUUUUAAAAGAAUAAUAAUUUUCAAGAAUUUUUAUAUAAUUUAUAUCAGAUCAAGGUGUAGUUUAUAUUUAAGUAAAAAUGGGUUACAAUUUAUUUAUAAUUGAAUUUAAAUAUGAAAAAUUUAAUGAAAAUGGAUUUGAAUGUAAAAUUAUAUAGAUUAAUAAUUUGAUUUUAGCUCUAAAAUAUGUACACAUCGCCCGUCGCUCUUAUUAUUAAAGUAAGAUAAGUCGUAACAUAGUAGAUGUACUGGAAAGUGUAUCUAGAAUG